Molecule: ribosomal RNA, 253 nt
Filed under: uncultured bacterium
Lineage: Bacteria
Description: partial 16S ribosomal RNA
Rfam family: Bacterial small subunit ribosomal RNA
Source: RNAcentral
UACAGAGGGUGCAAGCGUUGUCCGGAAUCACUGGGCGUAAAGGGCGCGUAGGUGGCCUGAUAAGUAGGAGGUGAAAUCCUGGGGCUUAACCUCAGGGCUGCCUUCUAGACUGUCCGGCUCGAGCACAGUAGAGGCAGGUGGAAUUCCCGGUGUAGCGGUGGAAUGCGUAGAGAUCGGGAAGAACAUCGGUGGCGAAGGCGGCCUGCUGGGCAGUGGCUGACGCUGAGGCGCGACAGCGUGGGGAGCAAACAGG